UGACAGUGGUGAUGAUGAUGACAUUUGUCAUGAUCCUGAAACAAUUUAUGUGGGUUUUUCAGUCACUACCUCAUCUGAACAGUCA
RNAcentral lists this small nucleolar RNA (85 nucleotides) under Sphaeramia orbicularis (orbiculate cardinalfish). RNAcentral's name for it is "Small nucleolar RNA SNORD11B (ENSSORG00005019346.1)". It matches the Rfam family "Small nucleolar RNA SNORD11B". The record is from Rfam by way of RNAcentral. Lineage: Eukaryota; Metazoa; Chordata; Actinopteri; Kurtiformes; Apogonidae.